CGCGGGCACGUUAAACGGACCGAGGGCCACGCCCCGGCCACACGGUCCUCAGCGUCCGUGUCGGUUUACCACCUGAGCACAACUGUCGCUUUUGAAACGAAAAUUUACAACCAGUAGCACUGGAUCCCUUGGCACGUCAUUCGAUGAAGAACGUAGCAAUCUGCGAUAAGUGGUGUGAUAUGCAAGUCCACAGCUUAUACGUGAACCAUCGAAUCUUUGAACGCACUGCACUAUCCGGACGACACCCCCGUGAUAGUAUGCCCCAUUGAGCGUUAUUUGUUCGUUCGGACGUCACCUUUGCCGGUGGCGGACGAGUUCGAGGUUCACACCCUUCCCGGUGCGCUCCUUGAGAUGCAUUAAGGGGCCGUCAAACGGUCAAUCCCAUCCCGCACUGUGAUGAUUUUGCAGUUCGCGCGCCGCGGCGAUCGUCGUGCGGCCUCUGACAACCGCCGCGAGGCAAACCCGGUGCCGUCGGAGCUCCUCCGUCGCGCCCACCCUUCGUACAUAACCUCAGUGGGGUAGGACAACCCGCUAGACUUAAGCAUAUUAAUCAGCGGAGGAAAAGAAACUAACAAGGAUUCCCCCAGUAACUGCGAGUGAAGAGGGAACGGC
Molecule: ribosomal RNA, 612 nt
Filed under: uncultured Tulasnellaceae
Lineage: Eukaryota; Fungi; Basidiomycota; Agaricomycetes; Cantharellales; Tulasnellaceae
Description: eukaryotic LSU rRNA
Rfam family: Eukaryotic large subunit ribosomal RNA (bases 505-612)
Source: RNAcentral